GGAUCUCUUGGCUCUCGCAUCGAUGAAGAACGCAGCGAAAUGCGAUAAGUAAUGUGAAUUGCAGAAUUCAGUGAAUCAUCGAAUCUUUGAACGCACCUUGCGCCCCUUGGUAUUCCGAGGGGCAUGCCUGUUUGAGUGUCAUUAAAUUCUCAAA
RNAcentral lists this ribosomal RNA (154 nucleotides) under Pleurotus eryngii. RNAcentral's name for it is "5.8S ribosomal RNA". It matches the Rfam family "5.8S ribosomal RNA". From Rfam's summary of the family: 5.8S ribosomal RNA (5.8S rRNA) is a component of the large subunit of the eukaryotic ribosome. Lineage: Eukaryota; Fungi; Basidiomycota; Agaricomycetes; Agaricales; Pleurotaceae. The record is from RNAcentral.